UAUUGGUUCUCCCGCAAUACUAAUUUGUUUACUUGGUUAGAUCUGGAAAGAAGCAACCAAAACAAAUAAUGUUUGUGCUGGGAUGUAGCUAAUUAGC
This 97-nucleotide signal recognition particle RNA is filed under the name Serratia symbiotica. RNAcentral describes it as "4.5S sRNA component of Signal Recognition Particle (SRP)". It matches the Rfam family "Bacterial small signal recognition particle RNA". Rfam says of the family: The signal recognition particle (SRP) is a universally conserved ribonucleoprotein involved in the co-translational targeting of proteins to membranes. Archaeal SRP consists of a 7S RNA and homologues of the eukaryotic SRP19 and SRP54 proteins. The record is from RNAcentral. Lineage: Bacteria; Pseudomonadati; Pseudomonadota; Gammaproteobacteria; Enterobacterales; Yersiniaceae.